AGAAUCAACGCUGGCGGCGUGCCUAACACAUGCAAGUCGAACGAGAAAGUGGAGCAAUCCAUGAGUAAAGUGGCGACCGGGUGAGUAACACGUGACUAACCUACCUUCGAGUGGGGGAUAACCUCGGGAAACCGAGGCUAAUACCGCAUAACAUCGCAAGAUCAAAGCAGCAAUGCGCUGGAAGAGGGGGUCGCGGCUGAUUAGCUAGUUGGCGGGGUAACGGCCCACCAAGGCGAAGAUCGGUAUCCGGCCUGAGAGGGCGCACGGACACACUGGAACUGAAACACGGUCCAGACUCCUACGGGAGGCAGCAGUGGGGAAUUUUGCGCAAUGGGGGAAACCCUGACGCAGCAACGCCGCGUGGAGGAUGAAGCCCCUUGGGGCGUAAACUCCUUUCGACCAAGACGAUAAUGACGGUACUGGUGGAAGAAGCACCGGCUAACUCUGCGCCAGCAGCCGC
Molecule: ribosomal RNA, 460 nt
Filed under: uncultured bacterium
Lineage: Bacteria
Description: SSU rRNA
Rfam family: Bacterial small subunit ribosomal RNA
Source: RNAcentral